AUGACUGGUUUUGAGCUGGAAAUGGCUGGAUUUGAUGAAUCAAUGGGACUGCCUUAUGGGCCUUACAUAAACAAUGAGAUGCUUUCUGUUAGUUCUUAUGAGCCACAUCUUCCUUCAGACGCAUCAAACACCCUACAUGUUGAAGGUUUCCCACCCAACUGUAUCAGACGGGAACUUGCACAUAUAUAUCGCCCUUUUACUGGGUUCUGUGCAGUAAGGCUGGUCAACACAGGAUAUAGUAAUCGACAUGUAAUAGCUUAUGCUGACUUUGAAACUUCUGCCGAAGCCUUCUCUGCCAUGAAGUCUCUGCAAGGUUAUUUGUUUGAUAUGCAUGACCGAUACUCAGUCAAAUUGGACCUCCAGUUCCUUCCUGGUCCGUCCAAGGUAAACUGA
Molecule: ribosomal RNA, 393 nt
Filed under: Triticum aestivum (bread wheat)
Lineage: Eukaryota; Viridiplantae; Streptophyta; Magnoliopsida; Poales; Poaceae
Description: partial small subunit ribosomal RNA
Source: RNAcentral